RNAcentral lists this ribosomal RNA (253 nucleotides) under uncultured bacterium. RNAcentral's name for it is "partial 16S ribosomal RNA". It matches the Rfam family "Bacterial small subunit ribosomal RNA", at positions 524 to 776 of the family's 1533-position model. The record is from RNAcentral.
GACGAAGGGGGCUAGCGUUGUUCGGAAUUACUGGGCUUAAAGCGCGUGUAGGCGGUUGUCCACGUUGGAUGUGAAAGCCUUGAGCUCAACUCAAGAAAUGCAUUCAGGACUGGAUGACUAGAGGACCGGAGAGGAUAGUGGAAUUCCCAGUGUAGUGGUGAAAUACGUAGAGAUUGGGAAGAACACCAGUGGCGAAGGCGGCUAUCUGGACGGUUUCUGACGCUAAGACGCGAAAGCGUGGGGAGCAAACAGG